RNAcentral lists this long non-coding RNA (2271 nucleotides) under Sorghum bicolor (sorghum). Its description in RNAcentral is "long non-coding RNA (SBIC_LNC010158)". The record is from RNAcentral. Lineage: Eukaryota; Viridiplantae; Streptophyta; Magnoliopsida; Poales; Poaceae.
AAGGUACUUGACUAUCACUUUUAUAAGCUUCUCCUUGGUUCUGGCGUUCAUAUAAAUAAAAGAGACAAACGUGUAUGAUUUACAACUCUAGAUUAACCAACCCAACUGAUUCAACAUGUUUAGUCCUUUAAUCCUUGUUCUUAGUACUACCUCCAUGAUCCCACACUCCUAAUCAUAUGAGCUAAAAUGUUACACAUCAAUCAUUGAGAGAUAUAAAGAAAAAGACAUAUACAUAGAUAGAUUAUUUUUCCAUAAGGUUGAGCGAUCUGAUCUGACACAUGUUAUAAGUGCUACACUCAUGAACUUAUCAUCCAUCAACUUUGUCUUGCUCACUAUGCUUAAGGUUAGAGAAAAAGAAAUACACUUUUGGUUCUGUUGGUGUUUUCCACCAACAGGGCCCAUGCACUUGAUCUCUGCCUUGUCUCUAUGAGCAGGUACACUACGAGCACAAACACACUAAGCAAGAUACUGCUAACACCUCACUUCGAACUGCUGGGCAAACGAAGAACAUGGGUGACACCGUAUUAAAAGGUGCAGACGUCAAGGUCCGCACCUGAAUCAAAUGACGCACCUGAAGAAUGAAUACACUGAGAAGUCUUGUCAAGAAGACUUAAAACAUAGAACCCUUGCCGAAAGGUAAGAUUGGUUGUUAUCCAUAUUUAUCCUUUCUGCAUUCCCUUUUCUAUUUAAUUAUUUACUUUCCUUAAAUAGACUAUUAGUUAAUCAUGCUAUCUUGAAAAGAAAAAAAUGUUAAAAAAAUACUAAGCACUAUGUGAGUAUACGAGUGGCAUAAAACCCAUAAGUACCUUCACUGUGGUGGCAUAAAAAUAAAAUAAAUAUUUCUUUUCUACUUUAUAAAAUAAAAAUAUAAAAACAGGGAGUAAUAUUUAUUGAGGAAGCUCAACGUGAUGAAGGCUAGAUAUUUAUGCUAACACUUAAUUAGUUCCACAAGCUUUGUUGUCUAUUUGAGCUCCACAGAAUUUAAGAAUCAAGAAGACUAGCAGACGGAAGACAUUCUAAUCGCUGUCAGAAUGCUGCUGACUUUCAAAUACACCUCUGCCACCUGCUAGCUACAUCAAGAGAAAUUACGUCAAAAUUCAGCUUGGGGGAGAGCACCCCCAUUUAUCUCGCUAAGUAUUUCUACCUAUCUUUUGCUUAGUGUGUUUAAUAAAUAAAUAAAGUGGCUAUGCUAAUCUGAAUCUUAAUAAUAAAACUCUAGCAUGGAUAUGAUGAAUAGUUGCUCUGCCUAAUUUGCAAAUUUGAAGUUCUCUCUCAAGUUUAGACAUAACUGUUAUAAUUUAAAGCUUGCUCUAGAUCUAAACUUGUGGGAUGAAAACUUGAUCUGAAAUCUAAGUUGUUAACGGAUAUGAUAUGGGAAGGUUGAGCUGCUGUUUAUCUAUUCCUAGAGAUGCUAGAAUUCUGGAGAAUUUUAUCUUUGAAAAAUCUUUAAAAUGUUGCAUGAUGAGUUCCUGUAUGAUGAAAGUUUAAAUUCCUCCCACAGCCAUAUAUACAUGCUUGCUAGACUUUGAGCCACACAUUUAUUAUUUACUGCUUAUGAGCAUUGAGUGUGGUCAAGCUGUGUAGACCCUUAGGAGCUUGUCAUGUGGUUAAAUCAAGAUUCACUUGCAUGUUCACUCAUAUAUAUGCUACUUCUACUCCGGAAGUACCAUCCACAUAUAUUCAUCCAUUUCCAUCUCCAAAAUCACCUAAAAAUAUUCUACUCCUAAUUCGGGAGAGAAUAGCCAAAAACAUCUGUGUUUUUACCUUGUGAAAUAAAUGCUCAAGUUAUCUUGCUACUACCACUUGCUAUAUUAUCUCAAGAGAUGAGUGCUCUGAAAAAAAAGAAGAAAAAAAAAGAGAAAAAAAUAAACGAGGAAAUAAAAAGGGGCAAGUGCCCGGAACCUCGAAAGAAAAGAAAAAGAGUGAGACGAGAGGUAAAAAUAGACAAGUGUCCGACAGUAGAAUUAGGGGUAUAGGAUACCCAUCUGAGAGAAAAGAAAAAGAAGAGCAUCUCAUCCUCCUCAUAAAGUUUCAAAAAGCAAGGAAGGUAUGUAUCCCCUCAAAAGAGCAAAAGUAGAAUUAGACUUUCACCAUUGUUAUCACCAUCAUCACCAUACACUAUUCAUUCGCCACACAUGCACAUCUUGAUUUGGCUUAUUGAUUUGUUUCUUUGGAUCCAUGGUUUGACUAUACAAUAAAUGUCUUGUAAGUAUGUAUAUUUUAUCUCCCACCUAUGAGCUCCAGAUAUUAAAGCCUUAUUAGAGUAGGGUG